AUGACCGAUGAGGAAAUCUUUUCAAAGCACGGCCAUAUGAAGUUAGUGUGCUCACCGUCAAGGCUCGCCAAAGUCAUGAAAUUGUUGUCAGCAAAAGACAUAGAGAAAAUCAUAAGUGAUACCGGUCUUGGGUGUCUAAACAUGAUUCGUGAAUUUAAACUCCGGCGCAUUAUGUUGAUAAGACUAGCAAAGAGCUUCGAUAGUGAGACAUCGUCCAUUACCAUAGGUAAAACACCCAUUCCUAUCACCGCAGAAGACGUGCACCAUAUAUUUGGCCUUGCGAUAGAAGGGGAGGAUAUUGAUAAAAAGCUGCAAAGCACACCGAAUCCAAACUUGUUUAACACAUUUCAAAACAAUGGGAGCAUUGAUCUGGCUGACCUUGAGACAGCGAUCUUAAGUUCCAAAACUCCGGACAAUGAUUUCCUGGCGUGA
RNAcentral lists this ribosomal RNA (432 nucleotides) under Triticum aestivum (bread wheat). RNAcentral describes it as "partial small subunit ribosomal RNA". The record is from RNAcentral. Lineage: Eukaryota; Viridiplantae; Streptophyta; Magnoliopsida; Poales; Poaceae.